RNAcentral lists this long non-coding RNA (393 nucleotides) under Mytilus galloprovincialis (Mediterranean mussel). The record is from RNAcentral. Lineage: Eukaryota; Metazoa; Mollusca; Bivalvia; Mytilida; Mytilidae.
AUCGUUUGCAUGAUAAAAAGUUAAUAAAUCUUGAUUUUUCAAGUAUAAUGAUACAUUUCCUUACCUAAAAUAUGAAUAUGUGAAUAAAUAUUUAAAGACAUUUCUCUUGUAUAUAUAAAUAAUUAUCAUUAAUUUAUUUGUGACUUUUUGUCUACCUAAUUUGUGACUUACUGCCCUGCCCUGUGACUUUCUAUCCGUUUACCUUUUUUUUUUUUUAACCUGAUCAGUUUUAAUUAAUUGUCAACUAAUUCUUGAUACAACACUUUUUUUUUUAAGCAAAAAUGUUUAUGGUUUUGUAUUUUACAAAUGUUUAGAGUUACCAUGUCAUCAAUAAAAGUUCAACCAAACAAAUAAAUGUUUUCUUCCUUAUUAAUUUCAAUUUUGACUGUUUUU